This 4840-nucleotide long non-coding RNA is filed under the name Lupinus angustifolius (narrow-leaved blue lupine). RNAcentral's name for it is "long non-coding RNA (LANG_LNC001843)". Lineage: Eukaryota; Viridiplantae; Streptophyta; Magnoliopsida; Fabales; Fabaceae. The record is from RNAcentral.
AUGGCUUCAAUCCGAUAAGAUCUGGUCUGGUCGGAUCCGCGUCGUGUCGCGAAACGACCGCUGCGAGAUCCGGUUAGAAGAUCCCAACUCCGGUGACCUCUUCGCUGCCUGCUUCGUCUACCCUGGCCAGCGUGACGUCGCCGUCGAACCGGUUCUAGAUUCCUCGCGAUACUUCGUUCUCAAGAUUGAAGACGGUCAAGGGAAACACGCUUUUGUUGGAUUAGGGUUCGCGGAGCGGAACGAAGCGUUUGAUUUCAAUGUUGCGCUUUCGGAUCAUGAUAAGUAUGUGCGUAGGGAGCAUGAGAAGGAGUCUGGUGGUGGUGAUGUUGCGGGCGAGGAAUCACAGAUCGAUAUUCAUCCUGCGGUUAAUCACAGACUGAAGGUGUGAAUCUGAAUUGAAAAUUUUGUAGUUUGAAUUGUUUUGAUUAUUGUUGUGGUUGUGUAAUUAGAAAUGAAGUAGGUUGUGCUGUUAGAUAUGAUAAUUCACGUGCCUUGUUAGUGAUGCAUAAUUCAGGGUGGAAUUGAUUUUUUGUGUGUUUUGAAUUAUUUGAUUAGUGUCGAGGUUGCCUAAUUGAAACAGUAACUAAGUGACUUUGGUGUUAGUGGUUUGUGGUAAUUUUAUGAAAACAGGUGUUUGUUUUGGCUAAAUCUCGGUUUUUAUGUUAAUUUUUGUGAUUUGAUAAUAAUGCCUGAUUCAGCUUUGUGGUUAAGUGAAUAACUCAGAUGCUUAUGUAGAAUGAGUGUUUGUGUUAUGAUGGUUAAGUAGAUUUUUCUGUUGUUACGGUGAAUUGCAGGUACUGUUUUGUGAACGAGUGCUACAAUCCUCUAUUAUUGUGUUAUGAUGAAUUGCUGAAGGAUUGUUUUUGCUUUGGUCAGAUAUGGUUUUUAGAGCAGUUUAUAGAUGUGUCGAGCUUGCGUAGUUGAAGCAUAGUUUGAUAAAUUCAUUAUAUGUUACUAUGUUGAAUCGGUAGUUGUUGACUUGUUUCCUCAAAUCCAGAUUUAUACAUAUCUGCUUGUUGAGAUUAAGCAAAUGAAGCAUGUUUUAGUGCUAUGGUUAAGUGGAUCAUUGGCAUGCUUAUGUAGGAUGCUUAUGCUCUCUGGUAACUAUAUUAUCAUGGUGAAUUGCUGAAUAACCAUUUCUUUUGGCCAAAUCUGAUUUUAGAUCAGGCUCUCGAUGUGUUUCUGUUUCACAAACACGGUUUUUUGUGGGUUUUUUUAUUUCUCUCAACUACCCCCUCCCUUCUUUCGUUUAAAAUUUUUUGGAGGAAUUUACUUUUUCCUCUCGUACGUUUUAUUCUUGAGCUCUUCCUUUUGAUCUCUGCAUAUGAGAUUAAGAUUUAUGGCUUUUUAGAUUUUCUUAUUUAUUUGACACGAGCUUCUUUGUCUUUUGGCCUAAAGGAAGGGGAAACCAUCAGGAUUAAUGUGAAGCACAAAAUAUCUAGUGGAACUGGCAUGCUUUCAGCUGCUGGGCUAACAGGUGGGCAUGCUGGAACACCAAAGCCAAAAAUCUUAAGCCUUGCUCCUCCACCGAGUGGGGCAGGGAAAAUCAGAUCUCCUCUUCCACCCCCUCCAAAUGAUCCUGUUGCUGCUCGGAUUGCUUCUACAUCACGUAGUACUGGUCUUAAAGGGACAAAUGACAGUGUGAAACAUUCUACUGACUCCUUAUCAGAUUUUUCUCAACUACAGGUAUGCUGGUGCUGCUCAUUAUUUGGCUGUUCCCUUAUUACAUAAUUAAAACAAGUGUGGUGGGUUUUGUUUAUCGACUUUUAAUAGAAUAAACUGCCUAACACAAGAUUUGGUUUUUAAUAUAAUAUAAUGACACAGUUUAAUCCAUGUAGCAGGCAUCAUCUUUGGGAAAAUGCUUCAGUUGUUGUACUUGUAGUUAUAGAUCUUACUAUCAAUCUAUGAGACUAUGACGAUAAUGAUUUGAAAAACAAAGAAUUUUCUCAGAGAUUCAUAUUCAUUUUUUAUUUUAUAGAGUAGAGCAACUCGAUUUAAUUAAUUUCUCUGCAUAGAUUAAAGUCCCAGACAUGGUCCAGAUUAAAUCAUUUGUAACACUAACAUACGUUUUUCUUGUUUGUAUUUACAGAAGAAUCUGCCGUCAACAGCCACUUCAGGUUCGAACACAGCUUCAGGAUGGGCAGCCUUCUGAGUAUAAAUAUGAGCAUUUUAACUAUGCGGCUUUUGUUAUUCUCUGAUUUUUUUGGUUCCUUAUUUUGAAAAAAGAAACAGUUGAAGAUACUGUGAAGUUAGCAGAAGAUACCAUGUACUUGGAAAUAUUUAUGGUUUUCUUUUGUUUGUAUCAACAGGUUCCUAUAUGUCUAUAUAAAAGAAUUACUCCUCAACCCUAAAAAAAUCCCACUCAUUCUUGACAGAGGUGUACUUUUGAAUGUGUUAAAGGGAGUGUUCCUAAUUAGCAUAUAUAAAAACUGAUGCCCAAUUACUUGUCACGGGUACUGUAAUUAGCAUUUUUUGUGUUAGUAUUUUAAUCGAUUGGGUUUGAUUGCAACGCUUGGAAUUUGACAUAAUAUUUCCUUAACACUAGAAAGAAAGGAGAAAGAUUCCUACUUUAUCUCGUUUGGUAAAGAAGAGAAAUAGAAGAGAUAGAGAAAAAAUUAAUGGGUCUCACUAAAAAUAUUUUCUUCUUUUCUUUUCAACUUUUAGAAGUGGUGAGACCUGAGAAAUGGCAUAACUUACCAAGUUUGUAAGUUUGCUGGUACACUCAUUUGUCAUCAGAGUGUUAUAUUAAGAUUCUGUUGAAACUGUUAAAAACUGUUUUCACGUUAAUCAAUUAAAGCUUUACUUAAUCGAUUAACUGACAUAUUUUCAGUUAAGAUGUUAAUUGGUAAACUACCUAUAUGUUAUGCUUAUCAACUAUACAUGUUUUACCUUUAUGUUAUGCCUAAAAUGUACAAAUAACAUGUAUGAUUAAUGCAUGAACAUAUAAUAAACUAGAUGACAUGUCUCAUGUAAAUAUAAUAAACUAGAUGGCAUGUCUCGUGUAAAUAAACUGAAAUCCGUUUUUCAGUUUUCUGUUGAAACUGUUAAAAAUUGUUUUCACGUUAAUCGAUUAAAACUUUACUUAAUCGAUUAAGUGACAUAUUUUCAGUUAAGAUGUUAAUUGGUAAACUACCUAUAUGUUAUGCUUAUCAACUAUACAUGUUUUACCUUUAUGUUAUGCCUAAAAUGUACAAAUAACAUAUAUGAUUAAUGCAUGAACAUAUAAUAAACUAUAUGGCAUGUCUCAUGUAAAUGAUAUGGUAGUUUUUAGAUGUUGUGAGAUUUGCAUCUAGGUUUACCUAACCUAGACUCAAUAACUAAGAGACAUCUAAGACUCUAGUCUAGACAUGAAGUUCUUGAAUCUUUGACAUGUUGAUUUGUUGAGUUGUCUUUAAGCUUUCACUAAGUCAUUUGUCUUCAAGCUUUCACUAAGUCCUUUGUCUUCAAGCUUUCACUAAGUCCUUUGUCUUCAAGCUUUCACUAAGUCCUUUGUCUUCAAGCUUUCACUAAGUCCUUUGUCUUCAAGCUUUCACUAAGUCCUUUGUCUUCAAGCUUUCACUAAGUCCUUUGUCUUUAUCAAAACAUAGGCAAGCUUUAGUGCUCUCUUCACACAUUGCACUUUCAAAACUAACAAAUGACAAACAUAACUACAAAUAAGUUAAAAAUACUUGUUUUCGCUGAAAAACGAUAUCAAUUUGGUUGUUUUAUAAAAUAAAAUAAAAAUUUUGAUUAACUCGGUCGGUUCAACCACCCGAGUCAUUAGUUUUGGCUUAAACUGACUGAGUCAACCCGAUUUAAUACUAAACCAGUUAGAUGAGAAGCGCAUAUCGAUAAAAUGUUUGGUUCACGGUUAAACCAAUCAGACCAGCAGGUGCGAGCCGAGUUUUAUAACACAUCCAUGUACUUAGUUUUUCAAAAAUAUAUACAAUAUAUAAGUCUACAACUUAUCAUUUUUCAUUUCACUUUUAUAUCAUGUUUCUAUUAAUCACAUGAGGAUAAUCAAAUUACUUUUUGAGGUAAAAUAUAGUGUUAGUCCUUAAAAUUCAAAGACAAUGAUAUAUGUGGAAUUAACUACAUUCCAUCAUAAGCCGAACAUGUCUUAAUUAUAUUUAAUUAUAAAUCCAAGUUAUUGGUUGCAAGCUAGAUUUCAAAAUAUUCCUUAGUGCAUAACUUGAAAAAGAAAAUAUCUUUUCAUAAGAGAAUAUAUAUUAUAUCCGCUAACUCCUAAAAUUAUAAUAAUGUAAUUUAUAUUUUAUAGUUUUUAAAAAUAUUUUUGUAAAAAUAAUUAAUCAUAAUGUAGGUGAUCAUUCUCAUAAUUAUAGGAGAUAAUUUAUUCUGAAUUUGAAUUCUCAGUUGUCUAACUGAAUAGCCACAACACCAAGUGAUAACACUUCUUCUUCUUCUGCUUCUUUGUAGUACCAACUAACAUAUCUAAAUCAAAUCACCACCUCAAAUUUAUUAAAUUUAAAUUCAUACUAGAACUCACCCUCUAUCUCAACCCAAAACGAUGUCGUUCGAGGAGGAAUCUUUCGAACACACCCUCCUUGUGGUGCGCGAAGUCUCCGUCUACAAGAUCCCGCCGCGCACAACCUCCGGCGGUUACAAGUGCGCCGAAUGGCUUCAAUCCGAUAAGAUCUGGUCUGGUCGGAUCCGCGUCGUGUCGCGAAACGACCGCUGCGAGAUCCGGUUAGAAGAUCCCAACUCCGGUGACCUCUUCGCUGCCUGCUUCGUCUACCCUGGCCAGCGUGACGUCGCCGUCGAACCGGUUCUAGAUUCCUCGCGAUACUUCGUUCUCAAGAUUGAAGACGGUCAAGGGAAACACGCUUUUGUUGGAUUAGGG